Molecule: ribosomal RNA, 200 nt
Filed under: uncultured bacterium
Lineage: Bacteria
Description: partial 16S ribosomal RNA
Rfam family: Bacterial small subunit ribosomal RNA
Source: RNAcentral
UACGUAGGGGGCAAGCGUUGUCCGGAUUUAUUGGGCGUAAAGGGCUCGUAGGCGGUUUGUCGCGUCGGGAGUGAAAUCCACUGGCUUAACUGGUGGCUUGCUUUCGAUACGGGCAGACUGGAGGUAUGCAGGGGAGAACGGAAUUCCUGGUGUAGCGGUGAAAUGCGCAGAUAUCAGGAGGAACACCGGUGGCGAAGGCG